GCCCCAGUAGCUCAUCUGAUAGAGUGCAUGCCCCACACGCAGUGGCCCGGGUUCGAAUCCAGCCUGGGCCC
Albula goreensis is the source of this 71-nucleotide non-coding RNA. The record is from the annotation of a GenBank genome assembly. Lineage: Eukaryota; Metazoa; Chordata; Actinopteri; Albuliformes; Albulidae.